AAGAAAGUAAAAAAGGGCGCAUGGCGGAUGCCUUGGCUCUCGGAGGCGAUGAAGGACGUGAUAAGCUGCGAUAAGCUUUGGGGAGGUGCAAAUGACCUUUGAUCCAGAGAUUUCCGAAUGGGACAACCCAAUAUCUUGAAGAGGUAUUAUCCAACGUUGUUGGAGGCUAACGCAGGGAACUGAAACAUCUUAGUACCUGCAGGAAAAGAAAAUAAACAAUGAUUCCCCCAGUAGUGGCGAGCGAACGGGGAACAGCCCAAACCAUCCAUGUUACGGCAUGGGUGGGGUUGUAGGACUACGCCGUUGCAUGAAGACAUCAGAGAAGAACUUUCUGGAAAGAAAGACCAUAGAGCAUGACAGUUGCGUAUUCGAAUGUUGUCGAAGCAUAGUAGUAUCCUGAGUAGCGCGGAGCACGAGGAAUUCUGCGUGAAUCUGCCGGGACCAUCCGGUAAGGCUAAAUACUCCCGAGAGACCGAUAGCGAACCAGUACCGUGAGGGAAAGGUGAAAAGCACUUCGAACAGAAGAGUGAAAUAGUUCCUGAAACCGUGCGCCUACAAGCGGUCGGAGCUCGUUAAUGAGUGACGGCGUGCCUUUUGCAUAAUGAACCUACGAGUUGCCUUUGCCGGCAAGGUUAAGUGUGACGACACACGUAUCCGAAGCGAAAGCGAGUCUGAACAGGGCGUAUAGUCGGCAGUGGCAGACGCGAAACCAAGUGAUCUACCCUUGGCCAGGUUGAAGGCUGGGUAACACCAGCUGGAGGACCGCACCAAUAAGCGUUGAAAAGCUUCUGGAUGAGCUGAGGGUAGGGGUGAAAGGCUAAUCAAACUUGGAGAUAGCUCGUACUCCCCGAAAUGCAUUUAGGUGCAGCCUUGCGGGUUACUGAUGUGAGGUAGAGCGACUGAUAAGAUGCGAGGGCUUCACCGCCUAUCAAGUCUUGACAAACUCCGAAUGCGCAUCAGUUCUACCGCAGGAGUGAGGGCAUGGGUGCUAAGGUCCGUGCCCGAGAGGAGAAGAAUCCGGACCACCUGCUAAGGUCCCGAAAUGACAGCUAAGUUAAACUAACGAAGUCUGACUGCUAAGACAGCUAGGAUGUUGGCUUGGAAGCAGCCAUUCAUUUAAAGAGUGCGUAACAGCUCACUAGUCGAGGAGUCGGGCGUGGAUAAUAAUCGGGUAUCAAGUUGUCUACCGAAGCAGUGGGAUCAUUGAUAUGAUCGGUAGGGGAGCAUUCCAGUCAGCGUCGAAGGCGUACCGUGAGGUAUUCUGGAGCGUCUGGAAAAGCAAAUGUAGGUAUAAGUAACGAUAAAGGGGGCGGGAAACCCCCUCGCCGAAAGACUAAGGUUUCCUGAUCAACGCUAAUCGGAUCAGGGUCAGUCGGGUCCUAAGGCUCAGCCGAACGGCGAUGCCGAUGGCAGAAACGGUUAAUAUUCCGUUACUACCUUCAGGAGUGACGUGGAGACGCAGUAGUGACAGUGCCGCCAUCUGACGGAAUAGAUGGUUGAAGGGUGUAGGAGUCGAUCAUGGCAGGCAAAUCCACCAUGAGAUCCGAACCUGAUAGUAUGCCGCGUCCUUCGGGACAAGGCAAUAGUGCGCGUAAGCAUGCUGCCGAGAAAAUCCGCUAAACUUAAUCCUGCAGGUACCCGUACCGCAAACGGACACACGUAGUCGGGAUGAAUAUUCUAAGGCGCUUGAGUGAUUCACGGUUAAGGAACUAGGCAAACUGACCCUGUAACUUCGGGAUAAAGGGUCCCUACCCUUUUAUGGGAGGGCGCAGAGAAUCGGUCCAGGCAACUGUUUAACAAAAACACAGGGCUGUGCCAAAUCGAAAGAUCCAGUAUACAGCCUGACACCUGCCCGGUGCUGGAAGGUUAAGAGGAGAUGUCAUCGAUAAGAGAAGCGUUGAAUUGAAGCCCCAGUAAACGGCGGCCGUAACUAUAACGGUCCUAAGGUAGCGAAAUUCCUUGUCGGGUAAGUUCCGACCUGCACGAAUGGUGUAAUGAUCUGGACGCUGUCUCAACCGUGAGCUCAGUGAAAUUGUAGUAUCGGUGAAGAUGCCGAUUACCCGCGAUGGGACGAAAAGACCCCGUGAACCUUUACUAUAGCUUAUCAUUGAAUCUGGGCACGUGAUGUGUAGGAUAGGUCGGAGGCUUUGAAGCAGGUACGCCAGUAUUUGUGGAGCCGCUGUUGAAAUACGACCCUUUAUUUGUUUGGAUUCUAACCCGUGGAACGGGGACAUUGAUUGGUGGGUAGUUUGACUGGGGUGGUCGCCUCCAAAAGCGUAACGGAGGCUUCUAAAGGUGCCCUCCGGCCGAUUGGUAACCGGCCUUAGAGUGUAAUGGCAUAAGGGCGCUUGACUGGGAGACUGACAAGUCGAUCAGGUAGGAAACUAGAGCAUAGUGAUCCGGUGUUUCCGUAUGGAAGGGACAUCGCUCAAAGGAUAAAAGGUACUCCGGGGAUAACAGGCUGAUCCCUCCCAAGAGCUCAUAUCGACGGAGUGGUUUGGCACCUCGAUGUCGGCUCGUCACAUCCUGGGGCUGGAGAAGGUCCCAAGGGUUGGGCUGUUCGCCCAUUAAAGUGGCACGCGAGCUGGGUUCAGAACGUCGUGAGACAGUUCGGUCUCUAUCUAUCGUGGGCGCAUGAAAUUUGCGUGGCUCUGACACUAGUACGAGAGGACCGUGUUGGACAGACCUCUGGUUUGCCGGUUGUGCCGCCAGGUGCAUUGCCGGGUAUCUAAGUCUGGAUCGGAUAAGUGCUGAAAGCAUCUAAGUACGAAGCCGGCCACAAGAUUAGAUUUCUCAGGGUCGUUGUAGACUACGACGUUGAUAGGAUGCAGGUGUAAAGAUGGAGACAUCAAAGCCGAGCAUUACUAAUUGCCCGUUCACUUUCUUUA
This 2888-nucleotide ribosomal RNA is filed under the name Phocaeicola vulgatus. RNAcentral describes it as "23S ribosomal RNA". It matches the Rfam family "Bacterial large subunit ribosomal RNA". Lineage: Bacteria; Pseudomonadati; Bacteroidota; Bacteroidia; Bacteroidales; Bacteroidaceae. The record is from RNAcentral.